RNAcentral lists this ribosomal RNA (184 nucleotides) under Potamon aff. algeriense. RNAcentral describes it as "partial large subunit ribosomal RNA". It matches the Rfam family "Bacterial large subunit ribosomal RNA", at positions 2411 to 2613 of the family's 2925-position model. The record is from RNAcentral. Lineage: Eukaryota; Metazoa; Arthropoda; Malacostraca; Decapoda; Potamidae.
UUAAAUGAUCCUUUAUAAAGAUUAAAAGACUAAGUUACUUUAGGGAUAACAGCGUCAUUCUUUUUGAGAGUUCUUAUCGAAAAAAGAGUUUGCGACCUCGAUGUUGAAUUAAAAUAUCUUUAUGGUGCAGAAAUCAUAAUAGAAGGUCUGUUCGACCUUUAAAUUUUUACAUGAUUUGAGUUCA